Molecule: long non-coding RNA, 1157 nt
Filed under: Crocodylus porosus (Australian saltwater crocodile)
Lineage: Eukaryota; Metazoa; Chordata; Crocodylia; Crocodylidae
Description: lncRNA (ENSCPRG00005006355.1)
Source: RNAcentral
UUGGGGUUUUUUAAGUACGUUUCAGGUUCGGAGGAUUCCCUACAGUAUGCAAUAGGCUCAGGCAUCCACUGCGUGGAUGAGCAUGGGGAAAAGGAUCUGUCUUUUCUCUUUCUUCCCUUUUCCACUGCAGGAGAGAAGUGACAAGUCUUUUCCCAAACAAGUCCCUGUUCCUCCUCUACCCUCCACCUCGCUUUACCAGGAUCACAAGAUGAGGCUUUUGAGAAACUGCCAAGCGCAGAGCUCUCCAUGUGGCUGAAAAUCGGAUGCCAAUAUUAGCCCCCUUUUAUCCCCACUCAGGCAUAUGCACACUCUUGGCAGGGCUGUAGCUCCUAGACCCAAACAAGACAGCUGCUUCCCCGGGAAAGCCUUUGCCUAAUUCUGCUAGGCUUUCUUGGAGGGGAACUUUUGAGCAUUCAUUAACCGGGCAUCCUGGCUUUGCUGACUUCUCAAGGUGGUCCGGGCACGCGGACCGGGCAUUUUGUCAGCAGUGCCACUGCUAUUCACGGAGAACGCAAGGGGACAUAACUUUUUCUGUUUAAUUAGUGUCGACUAAGUGUUCACAUCUGAAAUGGGGAAAGGGCAAAUGCUUUUGACAGCCUGGAGGGAUCAGGAUUAGGGAAGGAAGGGAAAGGAUCAAGUAAAAGGUGAUUCUGCUUAUACAUGCGGUAUAAGCAGCUGUUUCAUCAUUGCCAUGAAAAUGUUGAGUCAGUGCUGCAAGAAGCAACUCGUGAGCCUUUGACUAUGACUUACAUUCAUGUAGUCACAAGCUUUCCUGGGGUGCUCUGGAACCUGUCUUAAUGAUCUACUUUGCUAAACCUUUCUUCUCUUGCAUGAGAUGCAUCUCCUCUUUCCUGUAGAUAGUCAGCAAAAUGCAUUUGGAAACAGUCUUUUUCUCUUGCAUUGGCAGAACCCAGCUUGAGAGCAGUACCGAGUGGCAGUACCUGCUAUCAUUUAUAGAGCCCCUCAAGGGGGUUGGCUACUUAAAAGUAUAUCGAUGUGGCACGGUGCAGUGUCACGAAGAGAUACUCAAGGCAACUCUGAACAAGAACUUUGCCAAAGAAUUUGUGAUCAGCGACCACAAAGAGCUGGAUGAAGACUACAUCAAGAACGAGCUGAAGAAAGCAGGGGGUGCUAAUUAUGAUGCACAGACUGAGUAG